RNAcentral lists this long non-coding RNA (1681 nucleotides) under Anser cygnoides (Swan goose). RNAcentral describes it as "lncRNA (ENSACDG00005005623.1)". The record is from RNAcentral. Lineage: Eukaryota; Metazoa; Chordata; Aves; Anseriformes; Anatidae.
GGUCUCUUGUCUAUGAGUCUAGGUUGAGUUGUCAGUUGCAGCAUAGCUGUGUUGAGGAAUGUGCUAUGUGUUCAUGGGCCUUGUUCCCAUGAGGCAAUAGGUGGGUAUUUCAUCCAAGUUAGAGGUUGUGUGGAAGGCUGGGGAUGUGAGGGUACUUGUGUGUUCUCUUCCAUUUUUUGUCUCUGGGGAAUGGAUGUAAAUAUAGAAUCAUAGAAUCAUUAAGGUUGGAAAAGACCUUCAGGAUCAUCUAAUCCAGUCAUCACCCUACUACCAAUGUCACCCACUAAACCAUGUCCCUAAGCGCCAGGUCCGAGCAAGCACCCUCCCCUUCUCUCCUUUUUUGAAAAAUGUGUGCACUUUUACGCCUUUUUUUUUUAAGAGUUCUUUCCUCAUUCCCAGUGAUCGGAGUGCACAAAACACAUUUUUCUUCCCAUCACUGCCCCCCCCCCAACCCGCUGUCCCCUGAGGCCUGCUCCCCACCAGGCACCCACUGAUGUUAGUAGAAGAAGCAUGUAUGUGUGGAGCAGUGCAUGUGCUUCAAGGAGGGGGACAUUCCCCUCCAAAGACAUUCAUGAUGACCCAGUUUCUGGUAGAGGAUGGCUCCUCUCUCUCUUUCCCCCAGAUCAUGAGUAUGCUUUGAAGAUUAAAGAGAACUACACCUCCCUUCUUGGUAUACCUUGAUGGUGUGGUUUUACACAGUGAGUGGUGUUGGGAAAUGGUCUGCUCAUUUUUCCUUUGGUGAGACAUGCUUGGAAAUUCGGAGGGUGAAAGAAAUGUAUCGAAGAUGUGGAAGGUUUGAGAGGAAACAGUAAGUAAACUCUUUAUGAGGUGCUGUAGAAGAACAGACGUUUCUCUCCCAGCUUGCGAUUGUUCCAUUAGGCACACAGCCAUGGUUCAUGUACGUUGAAAUCUUCCUGAUGAGUAGAUUUAGCAUUAGAAUUGCGAUUUUUCCUGUGUUGGGAGCUUCAGGAGGACCUUCCAGGGAAUUAAUUCCCUACUAUCUACCUUACAUGCCCUUCUACUCUGAAUACUCAGAAAUGUCCCUUUAGCUGCAUAUCAUUUAUUCUCUUCACAGUGCUUAUCUUAUACCAUGAUAAUGUGGUGAAAAAAAAAAUUGUCUUUGGAGCUGUCCAUGGUGUAGUCUUCAUGCCCGUUGUGGAGAAAAAGGCUAGGCCACUGAUCCUUUGAUGAUGUCCUUCUGGAUGUAAUGAAGAAGGAAGGGAAUCAUAAUAGUUAGGAGUAGUCUGGGAAUAUUUCAUGUGUGUAGUGGCCUUGGAGGCUUUGAUUUCUCAUCAUAAUCUUUGAACACUGACAUCUCAGGAAUGGUUCUGGAAGUGUCUUUGCUAACAGACACAUGUGAUGAGAGCAGCUGUGUUGCAGUUCCAUCACUUGAAUCUCAUUAAGCAUAAUGCUUGGGCAGCCCAAAGAAAAAUGCCUGUAGAAUUAUAGUGAAGUCCUUCACUUCUGUAGUUUUCCUGUUUUUUCCUCUUUCAUCAUUACUGUCUAAACUAAGCCUCAAUAUGGCAGAGAAUCUUUAAAAGACUGGAGGAUCCACAAGAAUUGUGGGGCUGGGGUAGCUGAUUCCAUACAGAGAUUGAAUAUUUACAGCUGUGUUAUCAUUCCUUUUAAUGUCACUGAAUGGAAUCCCCUUGGCAGUGUUUGACAUUCUGGAGAAGAUAGA